CACAGUGGUAUCUGGGAUUAU
Molecule: microRNA, 21 nt
Filed under: Ophiophagus hannah (king cobra)
Lineage: Eukaryota; Metazoa; Chordata; Lepidosauria; Squamata; Elapidae
Description: oha-miR-216-3p
Gene: oha-miR-216-3p
Source: miRBase by way of RNAcentral